Molecule: long non-coding RNA, 4688 nt
Organism: Bombus pyrosoma
Lineage: Eukaryota; Metazoa; Arthropoda; Insecta; Hymenoptera; Apidae
Exons: 5
Source: RefSeq, a predicted model, not a curated record
AAACGAGCGUGAUGUAAUAUUUUUAUCAUUGAAACAUAUCACGAACGGCGACUUCACCUAGUUCCCAAGCAAACAAAUCUUACACAAGAUGCAUUUUCAAUUUCGCGAUACGAUUUACAUCUCGAAGGCGUUUGGAAUAUAAUCGAAAUUCAUACGUGGCGAGUUGACAAACGAUUUACAUCUCAAAGCUACUUCCGAUGAAGUUACAAACGUGCAUAGAGCACUUCAUUUCCCUUGUUAUUGUGUAAUGGUAUUAUCCGAUAUUUACAUAUAAUUUAUCUCUUCUAAAUUUGCAGUUUACCAGUUUAUACUUCGUAGUAUCACGAGGAAACAGAGAAUAUUUAAAAAUCACGUAGAAAAUUGUCGCAUGCAUGGGCAGUCUAAUCAUAAAUCACUACUUCCCUGCGGUAUCAAGAAACUUAAGCAGCUUUUAUGUCUUAAGAACUUAAGCAGUUUUUGAAACGUGAAAAAUCGUAAGAAAAAGUAAAACUGAGAAAACUACUAAUCACUGUGGCAAAAGAUGGAAAACAGGUCACGGUGGUAAUUCGAAAGCAGACAUAAAACUAUUUUAGGGAUAAGUAUAUGCGGCUAAUAACCAAGCGUAAAAUUUCUUCCACACUUUAUACAUCUCUGACUUACUAACCCGUGCAACUCAAUUUCUUUUUCGACUCGUUGAUCUGGAUCUAUGGUAUACUAUGUGCACGCAGACUCGUGUUUAAUUCAUUCUUCAAUUCUACCAGGCCAGGAAACAACCAUUCAACGCACGUGAAAGUGUGUUUCUCUUCUUUCGUAGCAAUUCUACGCAAUUUUUACCGGGAGUAAAAGCGAAGUUAAACGUGACAGCGAAACAUUAAACUUCUUCGUUGCAACGUACAAAGAAAGAAUCGCUAGUGGAUCAGUGGAGCAUAUACGAAGCCGUAAAAAUCACUGGCAUCAAGCAGUCAGUACUCGUGGAAAAUAUAAUCUGGCCCGUUAAUGGCACGGCAAAGAAGAUCGCGGUUAUUAUUUUCCUGUGGAAAGGUUUCCUUAGGGGCAUCGUAGCCUGAUCCAAGAAUGCCUACGUUUUUCACCCAGGCAUUAAACAAACGAGGACAAUGAUCGUUUCGGAGGAAUUAUUUACGACCUUACGAACUAAAGUAGAUCAGAUGUAAAAUUUUACACCGAUUUCUACUUACUUCAGUGGGUAAUGUGCUAUUCUUUUGAGGAAAGAUAAAGGCCAUGUUCUUUGUGAACGCCCAAUUGCUGCGAACGCAAGGAAAAUUUUACAGGUUCGACAUUCCUUUUUAAUUAAUUCUUCGCUAAUAAGAUACGUGCGAAGCAUUCUUCGAUAUCAACACGUCAUAAGUAUAUGUUGUGCCGUCGGUGGAAGAGAUAUGUAUAAUGCUUAUGAUGAAAUCAUCAAAGUUUGCUUGUAUGAUUCAACAACCAAAAUAGCCAUCGGUGACAUAUAAAGGAAUAUACUGACUUAUACAUUUUGGUAAAUUGGAAUUCUAGAAAUACACGAUUUUCUACUUUUCACGUGAUUAUUCACGUGAUAUUACAAAGAAAUCUCAUAUGCCAAUCAUAUAAAUGACUUCUGCAGAUCCGAGAUUCCAGCUACCAACUACGUACAUAUACGUGCGACUAGAUCAACGUGUGUCACCAUGUAACGUAUUAAUUUACAAUCUCGUCGUAUCUCUUCGACCAACAGUAAAAGCAUAAUAAUAACGGUGCUGGAAAGUAGCAUUACUCAUAAAGAUAAUCAUUGUUGACAAAUCAAAGAUACAACGAGCAAAAAUCGUUCUACGAUUAAAGUAUCGCGACUUUCUGUUGCGUGUUGAGGCAAAUGAAAUUCAGAAUGUCACGCAACAGUGUAAAAUUUCGCUGUUGCGCACAGAUUGAUCGAAGAAAAAGGUGAAAUUCUCUUCGUCCCUUUUAAAUUAUGAAUAUGCAUUCGUGAAGUGUUUCAAGUCUCCUGCGAUUAAAUAAAUAGAAUUAUGUAUUUACGAUUUAACGAGAUUGCUCUUGAGAUAUAUUUUUCUUUACUAUAAGAAUUCCUUUUAGCAAGUGGUCGCAAACAAUCAUGGUGACAGAGAGGGCUUUUACGAUUCACACGAAUGUAAUUAAUAAGAUAGGUCGUUAAAUUUUUAAUUAGAAGCUGGACGGCCGUUAAUGGAAGGAAUUAUACGUUUCUCACUAUCAAUCUUCUCCUCGUACACGUAUGUAAAGAAGUUACGUACGUUUUACAACAUUUGCUGCUGCUUGCAGUCACGGCCAGCGUAUAAUCGAUCAAAGCCAGGAAAUAGCUUCCCCAAGUGCAGAAGUUUAAAUAUCCAACGCAGAAAGUUGACGAUUAUCCACAAUAUUUAUAACUUACACGUACAAGGAUUUUAUUGAAAUUGGAGUGUAACAAUAGUCGUUAAAUCCACAUAACCAGAAACAAAUUGUGCAAUAGUAAUUGAGAAUUCAGUAUGUACACGAUUCGGUUUGCAGGAGAGGAAAGGGGCUGAGAGGAUCGAGGUAAUUAUCAAUUUCCUGUCUAUCUUUCGGAAAUUAACUCGUUCAAUCAGGGUUCGAUCACUGGAACGACUUUCGAUCGUCAGGAUGUGAAACUCUACCAUUGAAGAUGAUUCCAUAGUAUGUAAAUGCAUACCAUAACGAAAAGGGAUUUCGUUCUACAAAAGUAAAAACGAAUACAACGAGAUUGUUAAGAAACGCGAUCACUCGAUAAAGUGAAGAAGGUCUCUCUGUGGAAAUGCGUCUGUUGAAUAACUGAUUAUUAGUCAACGUUGGCUUUUCUGGAAUCGAAGAUAUCACGAAAAGCAUUUGCAUUCGCGAUCAGAAAAAUAUGAAACCAAUGUACUCUUUGGCGAGUGUCAUAUCACGAAGUUCUAAAAAUACAUAUGUAAAUAUAUGAAAUUUUUUUUUCUUCUUGGAAUUAAUGAGGUCGCGAUUACAUGAAAAAUUACGUUUUCUCUUACACGCUACAAUCUGUGGUUUAAGUCUUUCGUAGAAUAUAAGAAAUAAGUCUCCUAACGUAUAUAACAAUACGAUUCUACUAAUAAUAAAAUGGAACACAGGAAUCGCUCUUUUUUUCAGUUUCUUAAACUGAACUAUUUAAGAGAUCUUCCACUGUUAUAAUUAUCUCCGAUUUAUUACACGUAAUCUUCUUUCAGAAAUAUUGAUAUUUAAAAAGCGUCUUGAUAUAAAUAUUUUCAAGAUUUCUUUAAUAUAUAAAAUCGAUUUACGGUAAAAUACGUAGAAAGUUAUACGAUCAAAUGCAUAAAUCUCAUGCAAUGAUAACUCGUUGAAUCGUUCAACUUGCUCUGAUACGUCCGUUUCGGUGAAUCAUUUUUUUCCAGAAAAGAACUGCUACCUACAUUUUUCCAGCGAGCUCAUGUUUGGAUAUACAAGUGACCAGUUCAACUUGCAUACGCCUUCUUUAUUUUAAUUCAGAACACGAUCGAUGAAUUAUCGGUUCCUUGAAAAUUUCGAUAUGAACCGUAAUUUAAGUUAUUUUCUUUGCAGAUACGGUCGUUGGAUUAUUUCACUCUUUGUCUGUGUAAUUCCAAAGACAUUUGUAUUAAUAAAAUGACGCUUUAAGUACGACUUGCUUCAAUUUCAGAUAAGCUUUCAACAACAAUGUGUAGCGUUCGUUGCAAUGUUCUGAUAAAUGUGAUGCAAACAUACUUAAGCCAUUUAUCCAGUGAGGUCAUAGCCAAGAGCAGAACAAGACAUUAUACAAUACUAAAAAUGACAGAACAAUGCUAAUGGUUACACUAUCUGCAUCCUUUCCCAAAUUAUAUCAUCUCGAUUCGAUUUAUCUACUUUACCUGUUCUCACGACAAUUAUGUCCAAAAUUUCAAUGAGAUUUAUUCAAGAUGAAAUUUUAAUUUUACAGCUAUUUUGAUUUGUAGAUAUCUAACAAGGUGAGAUACUUCUCCGGAUAAAUGUUAUAGUAAUUUUAAAUCACCGAUUAUAGCAACACAAAUGUAUAUGAUGUAUAAGCAAUUAUUUUAUCGCGGAAGAUUAUUUUUAAAACGCAUACUACUUUGAAGGAACUGGUUAAAGUUAAUACAGACUUGCACAAAGAAAUUGAAGUAAAUUACUAAACUUUUUUUUCUUGUAUUUCCAUUUUUGUGAAUGAGAACAUAUUUUAUGUUCAGAAGGUGUAUUUAACAAUAUAAGGUUACUAAAACUUAUUUAUGCUUCUCUUACAGGUGUUUAUUAUUAAUAACUAGAUUAUGGAUAUUUUUGCACACUCGUAUUUUUGUAAAUUUAAUUUACAAAAUGGAAGUUAGAUAGAAAAAAUACAUAAAUAUUUUCAGCUUUCUAAUAAAAUAAUGAAUGUCAAACUCUACGAGAGACACGUACUGGUUUGCUAUCUAUAUUAUAUAGAUUACAAAAUAUAUAAAAUAUAGAUAUUAUCAGAAGAAUGUGACCGUGGUACAACGGGGUUGACAUUAAGUUUUCUAUAACGCGUAUUAAGUGAUGUAAUUAAGUAAAUUGAGAGGGUCAUUGUCUAUUAGUGAAAACUAGAUCAGGCCUGCGCUGAACGAUUAAAAUAAAACUUACCAUUCAAUCGUGCCUGGUAAGUUUCGCGAAUUUUCAGGCUUGUCGAUCGAUAAAUCACAUUCGAGACAUUUCGUUAUCGAGAAUUUAUCAAGUAUAAAUCUGAUUAAAAAAUAAAGGGUCCAUUGUAUAAAAUU